Molecule: transfer-messenger RNA, 203 nt
Filed under: Klebsiella quasipneumoniae
Lineage: Bacteria; Pseudomonadati; Pseudomonadota; Gammaproteobacteria; Enterobacterales; Enterobacteriaceae
Rfam family: transfer-messenger RNA
About the family: Bacterial tmRNA, also known as 10Sa RNA or SsrA, is named for its dual tRNA and mRNA-like properties. Its role is to liberate the mRNA from a stalled ribosome.
Source: RNAcentral
GGGGCUGAUUCUGGAUUCGACGGGAUUUGCGAAACCCAAGGUGCAUGCCGAGGGGCGGUUGGCCUCGUAAAAAGCCGCAAAAAAUAGUCGCAAACGACGAAAACUACGCUUUAGCAGCUUAAUAACCUGCUCUGAGCCCUCUCUCCCUAGCUUCCGCUCUUAAGACGGGGAUCAAAGGGGUUCAACUCCCGCCAGCUCCACCA